UAUGCACUAUUUCUCGAGGACUAAUGAAACUUGUACCUGGAAAUGUGCACUCCUAUAGGUGAUUUAUGAUGGAGAAAACCAGAUAUGCACUGAAGUUUGAACUGUGCUGCUUGAGCCACAUUUUGGCUGAGUCCUUUCAUUUCAGGUGCAAGGAUAUUGUGUCUAUCCUAGCAACUAAGUACGGGAGAAUGGACUGGUCCUGUGGCAGUGUCAGGUUUGCUUGCGUCUUCACUUCUGCGGCUCUUUUGCAUGUUGGUUUUAUUUAUUGUCUGAGGAAAAGGUCAUUUCUCGGUUGCCCAGCCCCAGAGGCCUUGUUUCCCUGCUGUGGGGAGGGUUGGUCUCCAGGGCCCUGGCAGCCGCCCCGUGACGCUCCAGGCCCCACAGGACGCUGGUGGCGGGCGCGGGGCCCACAGCCCCACAGCCCCGCGGCUGCCACACGCCUGUGCACGCGGACAGCGCACGGAGCACGGCUUGGGUAACAGUGUGGCUCUUGGGGACCAUCCCAGGUCCUGCUGAAAAGGAAAAGGACAAGCCAGAUCCCUAUUUAUUGAAGCAUGGAAGUUUUGUAUGUGCUAAGGAAAAAAAAUGGAAAGGUCCAAGACAAGCUACACCUUGACAAGAAGUACCUGAGCUAGGAGUACAAACUUUCCUGAUUCUCUUCAGCCAGAUUCCACUUGAACUGAAAACAGUUACAAUGGCUGGCCACACACAGUACCUGAGGAUGGGAAAAUACGUUUUGAAGAGCAGCAAAGCAACCUUCUUGAAGAAUUCAUGUCAGCAAGAAUUUGACUGUUCCCCUAUAAGAAGGAACCACAGAU
This is a long non-coding RNA of Vidua chalybeata, 818 nucleotides long. RefSeq lists it as uncharacterized. The transcript has 3 exons. The record is from RefSeq and is a predicted model, not a curated record. NCBI's taxonomy places the organism in Eukaryota, Metazoa, Chordata, Aves, Passeriformes, Viduidae.